This is a long non-coding RNA of Bufo bufo (common toad), 146 nucleotides long. RefSeq lists it as uncharacterized. The record is from RefSeq and is a predicted model, not a curated record. The transcript is spliced from 3 exons. Lineage: Eukaryota; Metazoa; Chordata; Amphibia; Anura; Bufonidae.
CACCAUUCUUUAAGAAGGAGCAGUGGAAAGGAACAAGGGACAUUAAUGAAAGCUGUUAUUAUAAGGUAAUUACAGAUCUUUUGAGAAUCAUUGACAGAUUAACUCAUGUAUACAUGCCUAGCUGUAAUAAACUGGCAAAUAAAAAA